This 19-nucleotide small nuclear RNA is filed under the name Arabidopsis thaliana (thale cress). Its description in RNAcentral is "snRNA_03384". Lineage: Eukaryota; Viridiplantae; Streptophyta; Magnoliopsida; Brassicales; Brassicaceae. The record is from RNAcentral.
ACGGGCGCAUACAUAGCGC